RNAcentral lists this ribosomal RNA (559 nucleotides) under uncultured soil bacterium. Its description in RNAcentral is "bacterial SSU rRNA". It matches the Rfam family "Bacterial small subunit ribosomal RNA", at positions 35 to 633 of the family's 1533-position model. The record is from RNAcentral.
GCUGGCGGCAUGCUUAACACAUGCAAGUCGCACGGGCAGGGGUAACUCUGUCAGUGGCGGACGGGUGAGUAACGCGUAGGUAUCUAUCCUCGGGUGGGGGACAACCACGGGAAACUGUGGCUAAUACCGCAUGAUGACUGAGGUCCAAAGGCGCAAGUCGCCUGGGGAGGAGCCUGCGUCCGAUUAGCUUGUUGGUGGGGUAAAGGCCUACCAAGGCUCCGAUCGGUAGCUGGUCUGAGAGGAUGAUCAGCCACACUGGGACUGAGACACGGCCCAGACUCCUACGGGAGGCAGCAGUGGGGAAUAUUGGACAAUGGGCGAAAGCCUGAUCCAGCAAUGCCGCGUGGGUGAAGAAGGUCUUCGGAUUGUAAAGCCCUUUCGACGGGGACGAUGAUGACGGUACCCGUAGAAGAAGCCCCGGCUAACUUCGUGCCAGCAGCCGCGGUAAUACGAAGGGGGCUAGCGUUGCUCGGAUUGACUGGGCGUAAAGGGCGCGUAGGCGGUUCGUACAGUCAGACGUGAAAUUCCUGGGCUCAACCUGGGGGCUGCUGUUUGAUAC